This is a long non-coding RNA of Sycon ciliatum, 241 nucleotides long. RefSeq lists it as uncharacterized. The transcript has 4 exons. NCBI's taxonomy places the organism in Eukaryota, Metazoa, Porifera, Calcarea, Leucosolenida, Sycettidae. The record is from RefSeq and is a predicted model, not a curated record.
CCUGCCGGGCUGUUGAGCGCCACAACCAAAUUACAAAAGCUAGAUUUGAAAGGUAAUCAACUUUUUCACCUACCUGCCGGGCUGUUCAACGCCACAACCAAAUUACAAAACCUAGAUUUGACCGGUAAUCAACUUGUUCACCUACCUGCCGGGCAACACUACAACCAAAUUACGAAUCCUGAGUUUGAGGAAAAAUGAUAUUGUUUACCUACCAGCCGAGCUGUUCAAUGCGACAACCGAA